AACGAACGCUGGCGGCAGGCCUAACACAUGCAAGUCGAACGAACCCUUCGGGGUUAGUGGCGCACGGGUGCGUAACGCGUGGGAACCUGCCUUUAGGUACGGAAUAACUCAGGGAAACUUGUGCUAAUACCGUAUAAUGUCUUCGGACCAAAGAUUUAUCGCCUUUAGAUGGGCCCGCGUAGGAUUAGCUAGUUGGUAGGGUAAAGGCCUACCAAGGCGACGAUCCUUAGCUGGUCUGAGAGGAUGAUCAGCCACACUGGGACUGAGACACGGCCCAGACUCCUACGGGAGGCAGCAGUGGGGAAUAUUGGACAAUGCGCGAAAGCGUGAUCCAGCAAUGCCGCGUGAGUGAUGAAGGCCUUAGGGUUGUAAAGCUCUUUUACCCGUGCUGAUAAUGACAGUAGCGGGAGAAUAAGCUCCGGCUAACUCCGUG
Molecule: ribosomal RNA, 433 nt
Filed under: uncultured bacterium
Lineage: Bacteria
Description: bacterial SSU rRNA
Rfam family: Bacterial small subunit ribosomal RNA
Source: RNAcentral